UACGUAGGGGGCAAGCGUUAUCCGGAUUUACUGGGUGUAAAGGGAGCGUAGACGGCAGCGCAAGUCUGGAGUGAAAUGCCGGGGCCCAACCCCGGAACUGCUCUGGGAACUGUCCGGCUGGAGUACGGGAGGGGCAGGCGGAAUUCCUGGUGUAGCGGUGAAAUGCGUAGAUAUCAGGAGGAACACCGGCGGCGAAGGCGGCUUACUGGACUGUAACUGACGUUGAGGCUCGAAGGCGUGGGGAGCAAACAGG
Molecule: ribosomal RNA, 253 nt
Filed under: uncultured Eubacteriales bacterium
Lineage: Bacteria; Bacillati; Bacillota; Clostridia; Eubacteriales
Description: uncultured Clostridiales bacterium partial 16S ribosomal RNA
Rfam family: Bacterial small subunit ribosomal RNA
Source: RNAcentral